UGGGGAAUCUUGGACAAUGGGGGCAACCCUGAUCCAGCAAUGCCGCGUGUGGGAUGAAGGCCUUCGGGUUGUAAACCACUUUUGGCGGGGGCGAAAUAUCGAGUGCUAAUACCAUUCGGUGAUGACGGUACCCGCAGAAUAAGCACCGGCUAACUACGUGCCAGCAGCCGCGGUAAUACGUAGGGUGCAAGCGUUAAAUCGGAAUUACUGGGCGUAAAGCGUGCGCAGGCGGUUAGGUAAGACAGGUGUGAAAUUCCCGGGCUCAACCUGGGAACUGCAUUUGUGACUGCCUGACUAGAGUGCGGCAGAGGGGAGUGGAAUUCCGCGUGUAGCAGUGAAAUGCGUAGAUAUGCGGAGGAAACACCGAUGGCGAAGGCAAACUCCCUGGGCCUGCACUGACGCUCAUGCACGAAAAAGCGUGGGGGAGCAAAACAGGAUUAGAUACCCUGGUAGUCCACGCCCUAAAACGAUGUCGACUAGUUGUUGGACGGGUUACUGUUCAGUAAACG
RNAcentral lists this ribosomal RNA (509 nucleotides) under uncultured bacterium. Its description in RNAcentral is "partial 16S ribosomal RNA". It matches the Rfam family "Bacterial small subunit ribosomal RNA", at positions 355 to 848 of the family's 1533-position model. The record is from RNAcentral.